GGUCAUGUAACUGACGGAAGUGGGUAAACCACAGGGAGCAUGGCCCAAGACCGCCGACCGUCUGGGCAG
RNAcentral lists this non-coding RNA (69 nucleotides) under Acidaminococcus hominis. RNAcentral's name for it is "ZMP/ZTP riboswitch". It matches the Rfam family "ZMP/ZTP riboswitch aptamer (pfl RNA motif)", at positions 5 to 81 of the family's 86-position model. Rfam says of the family: Previously known as pfl RNA. The record is from RNAcentral. Lineage: Bacteria; Bacillati; Bacillota; Negativicutes; Acidaminococcales; Acidaminococcaceae.